Molecule: long non-coding RNA, 3294 nt
Filed under: Agrilus planipennis (emerald ash borer)
Lineage: Eukaryota; Metazoa; Arthropoda; Insecta; Coleoptera; Buprestidae
Description: uncharacterized LOC112904072
Source: RNAcentral
AUUUAAAAAUAUCUAACAACACUUAAUUAAAUUACAGGAAUUGUUUGUUUAUAUAACGAAAAGACUGAUUUUUAAACGAAUGGUACUGUUACAAAGCACUUAUUUAUGAUCUUUUUCGUCUUAACUUUAAUUGAAGCUAUUUUUCAGGAUCUGUCUAAAUGUGUUAAUUGAAUUUAUUUAUUAUUAAACGUUUGGUUUAAAAAAUUGCGACAAGUUUCUCACAAAAGCUCAUGGGUUGUUGCAGCCACGCCAGUUAAAUUACAAUUAAGUAAAGUGUAGAGUGUGUUAUUUGUUUUUAAUAUAAAUCGCGAAUACGUAACAACCCUUUGAGCGUAUUAGAAGGCAUAUCACAUUUCUUUUAAUUACUGGGUACCACUGUAGUUAAUUUUAAGGAAGUUUAAAAUAGGCUACAAUUUACAUUCUAUUAACAGUAGUUGCAAUAAAAAUAAAACUUAUUUUCUUUAACUUGAACAGCAAAUAUAAAAUAGUAAGUUAAUUUACAAAAAAAUCUUUUUUUAAAUCUAUAUUAAACGGUUGUUUUUUAUCCAUAUUACUGAUACACCUUUAAGCUGGAAUCUGCAAAAGUUUCAGAUUAUUAGCUCUUGGUUAAUUGGUAGUAUGCAUAAAGUCGAGGGCACAAAAUAGUCUCACAUUUGUUAAGUACUCAUUACAUUUGAAAUGCAUACAAAUAUAAGUAGAAUUUACUACUUAUAUUUUUGAAAAUAGGAACUCAUUUGAGAGGAUACUAUCAAAUAUGCGUACAAAAAUUUGAGUGGAGGGAGUAGAUUCUCAAAGUAAUAGAAUAAAGUCCCUUAGUAUACAUUUUAAAUUGAGUGGUUGCUUUAAAAAUAUUAGACUAUAUUAAGCACUCAACUAUAUGCACAUCACCCUUUAUCAUAGGAAAUAUUCUUUUUUUUUUUUUAUUGCAUACUACUGUAGGUUUGUUCCGUGCAUUUUAAAUUAAUAAAUGCAUCACGUACUUCGCGUAAGCCCUUCGUUUAUUGGGCAAUUGUACAAAUAAACUUUCCAUACUGAAUACCACUACAAAAGAAAUAUUGGCGUCCAGAAUGAUGAUAAUAGCUUAAGUAACAAACAGCAUUAGACUUGUUUUUUGUUUUUUUUAAUUUUUAUUUGUUACACUAGUAGUUGCAGUUAAAAAUAUGACCUAAAACACGUUCUAGAAUAAUUAAUUGUGAAAAUGUAAACGUAAAACACUGUAAGUUAAUGAUAGUUUGAUGAGUCGGUUUGUGUAUUAGGUAUAUUGAAAGAGCUGCAACAUGUAAUGCCUUUUGUGCUUUGCAAAAAUAUGCUAUAAAACAAUUUUGUAAAAAGUAGCAAUUUUAUAUUAAUAUAAUUAUUACCAUAUUUGGUGUAUUUUAUUGAAUCUUAGUUUCUAAACUUAUUGUACAAAGCAAAGCACAGUUACUUUUUUAACAUUAAAAAAUUAUAUUUUAAAGCUACAAGUCAAUAAAUAAUCAAAUACCUUCCUUCAUUUUUUAAAUGUUCCUCAAACAAUUCAAGCGAAAUUCUUGGCCAGCAGGUAAGUUAAAUAAUAAUUUUAAUUCUACAUCGUAAUUCCCACAUUUUGCAGGAUUUAGCAAGCAUGUUAAUUAAGAAGAAUCGAGUGUUUGGGAGUGAUUGGUGGAGAAAAUUGCACGUUUAAUAUCUAGAACGAUUCGAUAAAACUAAGGCUGUUUAUCAAAUUGUAAAUUAAGUAUAAGAAAUUUAGUUUUUUUUACGAAACGAAAUUUGUAUCAAUCAUUUCUACAUAAAAGAAAUAAAAAUCUGUUUGGUAACUAGUACGGUUAACAUGAAUCGAUAAUAACGGGAUUAAGUGCAGUUUUAAUAGAAUUAUUCCAGUGUAUUUAGAUAGAAUAUUUCUUUAUUAGAACGUUAUGUUUUAUAUUUAUUACAUGGUGCAUUGAACAAUAAGUUUUUAAUUACAUCGUCUUCUGAAUUGAACAUUUUGUUCGUAUUUUAAAGCAAUUUUUGAAUAUUUUACGGCCAAUUUUGCUUUCUAGAUAAGGUAUUUCGGUGUAUUUUAAUUAGUUUUCCUUCAUUUUUUAAAAUGUUCAACCGAAUUCCUUCGCCUACAGGACUUAUAAGGAUACUAACUAGGAAGAAUUAUGCGCAGGAAGUAGUAAUUAGUGGAAAAAUUUACAAGUUUGAAAUCUACGACUUGAUAAAAUUAAAGGUAUUUGUAAAAAAUUGCUCAAUUGAGUAUAAGUUAGUUAUUCUUGUUUAUGGUGGAUAAAAAAAACAAAAAUAUAUUUUUUGGCAAUUUAUUUAACCAUGUACUUAUUUUUUAUCACAGACUCUUCCUUUAAAGUACAAUCGUUAAGACUAUUGAGCUACAAUGGUUUUAACAGCCUGUUCUUGUUUAUGAUUACAAAACGAAAUGAGUAAAUUUAUUAACAUAAUAUUGACGCUAUAUAUAGAUCGUUUCUAAACAAAACAAACGGACACUUUAUAACGCAACAUAAAAAUCUAUUUAGUAACUAAUACGAUUAACAUAAUUUGAUACUAGUAGAACAUAGUAUAUUUUUUAUAUAAUUAUUCAAGAAACGGCAUUAUUAAGUGUACAUAUGUUAUCGAUAUAUUAAAUGAUCAGACGAAAGAAUAUUUUUUUACCAAAAUGUUCACUAGUGUAUAAAAAUAUAGUUUUUCUCUGAAUCUCAAAUUAAUUAGUUAUCGUGCUUUAAAAGCACAUUAAUCUGACCAUCAAUAUUUUAUGGACAUCAUGUACACAAAUUUAACAAAUAAUAUUGCAUUUCAUAUGUUUCGAACUAAAAACGCUGAAGUAAAACACUAACUUGGAAAUUUUAGCAGACUAAACAGAUUAAACUAGUUAUAAAAUUCAACACUUAUCGAACAAGAACAUAUUGCUUCUAAAAUAAUAAAAAUCCAACUUAAUUGAUAAUUCUUAAACCAACAAAUAUGAAAAAAUAACAUCACAUUUUUGCACUCUUAUACUGUACUUUUUUCAAUAACGUUUUUUAUGCAAUCCUUAGGGAAAAAAAAUUAAAAAAAAAGUGAUUUAAUGUUACAUAGUUAGAAUUUGUACUUUUUAAAUAAAAUAUUGGAAAAGAAUCCUGAGAAUCCAAUCUGCGUAAAAAAAAUAUUUUAAAAAUAUUACAAUUAGUAAAAAACGUAAUGUAAAUAAACCCAGAGAACACUUACAAAAUAUUUACAUAAAAUCCCUAAAAGAUUAACGGAGUAAUUACUGACUAGUAUGUUAAAUAUUAUACACUCUUUUUGAACCUAAUUUCUGAGUUCAUAAUAAACCACUCCAGA